This 407-nucleotide ribosomal RNA is filed under the name uncultured bacterium. RNAcentral describes it as "partial 16S ribosomal RNA". It matches the Rfam family "Bacterial small subunit ribosomal RNA", at positions 30 to 526 of the family's 1533-position model. The record is from RNAcentral.
AUUGAACGCUGGCGGCAGGCCUAACACAUGCAAGUCGAGCGGAGCGGCGGACGGGCGAGUAAUGCCUAGGAACCUGCCUGGGCGUGGGGGAUAACGUCCGGAAACGGGCGCUAAUACCGCACACUAUCAGAUGAGCCUAGGUCGGAUUAGCUAGUUGGUUGGGUAAAGGCCUACCAUGGCGACGAUGCGUAACUGGGCUGAGAGGAUGAUCAGUCACACUGGAACUGAGACACGGUCGAGACUCCUACGGGAGGCAGCUGUGGGGAAUAUUGGACAAGGGGCGAAAGCCUGAGCCAGCCAUGCCGCGUGUGGGAAGAAGGUUUUCGGAUUGUAAAGCACUGUAAGUUGGGAGGCGGUACCAACAGAAUAAGCACCGGCUAACUUCGUGCCAGCAGCCGCGGUAAUUC